CGGGAGGGAAAGGCGAAAAGAACCCCGGCGAGGGGAGUGAAAAAGAACCUGAAACCGUGUACGUACAAGCAGUGGGAGCCCCACCACUAAGCCAGUGGUGAACUCCACAUACGCAUCCUUUGCUGAGGAUACGGUUAACGGAGCGAAAGCGACGUUCAACCUCAAAAGAAGCAGAGGGGGCUUAGUGGUGGGGUGACUGCGUACCUUUUGUAUAAUGGGUCAGCGACUUAUAUUCUGUAGCAAGGUUAACCGAAUAGGGGAGCCGGAGGGAAACCGAGUCUUAAUUGGGCGUUAAGUUGCAGGGUAUAGACCCGAAACCCGGUGAUCUAGCCAUGGGCAGGUUGAAGGUUGGGUAACACUAACUGGAGGACCGAACCGACUAAUGUUGAAAAAUUAGCGGAUGACCUGUGGCUGGGGGUGAAAGGCCAAUCAAACCGGGAGAUAGCUGGUUCUCCCCGAAAGCUAUUUAGGUAGCGCCUCGUGAAUUCAUCUCCGGGGGUAGAGCACUGUUUCGGCUAGGGGGCCAUCCCGGCUUACCAACCCGAUGCAAACUGCGAAUACCGGAGAAUGUUAUCACGGGAGACACACGGCGGGUGCUAACGUCCGUCGUGAAGAGGGAAACAACCCAGACCGCCAGCUAAGGUCCCAAAGUCAUGGUUAAGUGGGAAACGAUGUGGGAAGGCCCAGACAGCCAGGAUGUUGGCUUAGAAGCAGCCAUCAUUUAAAGAAAGCGUAAUAGCUCACUGGUCGAGUCGGCCUGCGCGGAAGAUGUAACGGGGCUAAACCAUGCACCGAAGCUGCGGCAGCGACCGUAUCACUUAAAGCGAUUCAGCGGAUGACGAUUGACGGAGCGAAGCGACGUCAAAGCGUA
This 871-nucleotide ribosomal RNA is filed under the name Salmonella enterica subsp. enterica serovar Bovismorbificans. RNAcentral describes it as "partial 23S ribosomal RNA". It matches the Rfam family "Bacterial large subunit ribosomal RNA", at positions 502 to 1259 of the family's 2925-position model. The record is from RNAcentral. Lineage: Bacteria; Pseudomonadati; Pseudomonadota; Gammaproteobacteria; Enterobacterales; Enterobacteriaceae.